AUGGAGGAUCUGUACAGCAUCCACCCGGGGAUCUCGCGCGGCGGCGAGGGCGGCGCGGCCUGCAGCGAGGCGUCGGGGGUCGCCGGCGGGGCCAGCUCUCCUCCCCCGCCUCCGCCGCCUGCGGAUCUGACGGAGCUGAUGAAGGCGCAGAUCGCCGGGCACCCCCGCUACCCCUCCCUCCUCUCCGCGUACAUCGAAUGCCGCAAGGUGGGCGCACCGCCGGAGGUGGCCGCGCUGUUGGAGGAGAUCGGACAGCCGGAGAGGCGCGGCGGAGGCGCCACAGCCACCGGGGAGAUUGGCCUCGACCCCGAGCUCGACGAGUUCAUGGAGGCCUACUGCCGGCUGCUGUCGCGGUACAAGGAGGAGCUGUCCCGGCCGUUGGACGAGGCCGCCUCCUUCCUCACCACCAUCCGCUCGCAGCUCACUAAUCUCUGCGGCGGCGGAGCCACCGCCACCUCGCCGCACUCCGAUGAAAUGGUGGGGUCGUCGGAGGACGAGCCGUGCUCGGGGGACGUCGACGGAUCCGACGCCGGCAUGCAAGAGCACAGCUCCCGGCUGGCUGACCACGAGCUCAAGGAGAUGCUGCUCAAGAAGUACAGCGGCUGCCUCAGCCGCCUCCGGUCCGAGUUCCUGAAGAAGAGGAAGAAAGGGAAGCUGCCCAAGGAUGCUCGGCUUGCUCUCAUGGACUGGUGGAACACACACUACCGCUGGCCUUACCCCACGGAAGAGGACAAGGUGCGGCUCGCCGCGAUGACGGGCCUGGACCCGAAGCAGAUCAACAACUGGUUCAUCAACCAGAGGAAGCGGCAUUGGAAGCCGUCGGAGGACAUGCGGUUCGCGCUCAUGGAGGGCGUCACCGGAGGAGGUGGAUCCUCUUCCGGCACGACACUCUACUUCGACACGGGCACGAUCGGGCCAUGA
Molecule: ribosomal RNA, 921 nt
Filed under: Triticum aestivum (bread wheat)
Lineage: Eukaryota; Viridiplantae; Streptophyta; Magnoliopsida; Poales; Poaceae
Description: partial small subunit ribosomal RNA
Source: RNAcentral